AUUGAACGCUGGCGGCAUGCUUUACACAUGCAAGUCGAACGGCAGCGCGGGGCAACCUGGCGGCGAGUGGCGAACGGGUGAGUAAUAUAUCGGAACGUACCCAGAAGUGGGGGAUAACGUAGCGAAAGUUACGCUAAUACCGCAUACGAUCUACGGAUGAAAGUGGGGGGCCUUCGGGCCUCAUGCUUUUGGAGCGGCCGAUAUCUGAUUAGCUAGUUGGUGAGGUAAAGGCUCACCAAGGCGACGAUCAGUAGCUGGUCUGAGAGGACGACCAGCCACACUGGGACUGAGACACGGCCCAGACUCCUACGGGAGGCAGCAGUGGGGAAUUUGGACAAUGGGGGGCAACCCUGAUCCAGCAAUGCCGCGUGAGUGAAGAAGGCCUCGGUUGUAAGA
RNAcentral lists this ribosomal RNA (396 nucleotides) under uncultured bacterium. RNAcentral describes it as "bacterial SSU rRNA". It matches the Rfam family "Bacterial small subunit ribosomal RNA", at positions 30 to 430 of the family's 1533-position model. The record is from RNAcentral.